GACGAACGCUGGCGGCGUGCUUAACACAUGCAAGUCGAACGGAAAGGCCCUGCUUUUGUGGGGUGCUCGAGUGGCGAACGGGUGAGUAACACGUGAGUAACCUGCCCUUGACUUUGGGAUAACUUCAGGAAACUGGGGCUAAUACCGGAUAGGAGCUCCUGCUGCAUGGUGGGGGUUGGAAAGUUUCGGCGGUUGGGGAUGGACUCGCGGCUUAUCAGCUUGUUGGUGGGGUAGUGGCUUACCAAGGCUUUGACGGGUAGCCGGCCUGAGAGGGUGACCGGGUGGCUGGGGGCUGGGGUGGGCGGCAUGCUCGGGGGGGGGGGUGGGGGGGGGAAUGGGGGACGACGGGCGGAAGCCGGAGGCAGCGGCGCGGGGUGGGGGUGGACGGCCGGCGGGUUGUACACGGGUGUCGCGGGCGACGGGGGGGGGGUGGGGGUGGGGGAAAAAGAAGAAGCGGGUAACUACGUGCCAGCGGUCGCGGUAAUACUCGGAAGAGAAGGAGUACAAAC
Molecule: ribosomal RNA, 509 nt
Filed under: uncultured bacterium
Lineage: Bacteria
Description: partial 16S ribosomal RNA
Rfam family: Bacterial small subunit ribosomal RNA (bases 15-371)
Source: RNAcentral